AUGUGGUUUAAUUCGAUGCAACGCGAAGAACCUUACCGGGGUUUGACAUUACACCCAGAUUGCGGAAACGCAAUGGGUACGGGUUCGCCCUAACAGUGGUAACAGGUGGUGCAUGGUUGUCGUCAGCUCGUGUCGUGAGAUGUUGGGUUAAGUCCCGCAACGAGCGCAACCCUUACCUUUAGUUGCCAGCGGGUAGAGCCGGGCACUCUAGAGGGACUGCCGGGGAUGACCCGGAGGAAGGUGGGAUGGCGUCAAAUCAUCAUGCCCCUUAUGUCCCGGGCUACACACGUGCUACAAUGGCCCGUACAGAGGGCAGCGAACCAGUGAUGGGGGAGCGAAUCCCACAAAACGGGUCUCAGUUCGGAUUGCAGGCUGCAACUCGCCUGCAUGAAGUCGGAAUCGCUAGUAAUCGCAGGUCAGCAUACUGCGGUGAAUACGUUCCCGGGCCUU
This 450-nucleotide ribosomal RNA is filed under the name uncultured Thermanaeromonas sp. Its description in RNAcentral is "bacterial SSU rRNA". It matches the Rfam family "Bacterial small subunit ribosomal RNA", at positions 939 to 1382 of the family's 1533-position model. Lineage: Bacteria; Bacillati; Bacillota; Clostridia; Neomoorellales; Neomoorellaceae. The record is from RNAcentral.